UACACUCUCUUUUUUUUAUAUUAUUUAAAUUAAUGAUGAUUAAAAACUGAUUAAAAUGUAAUUAUUAAUUCGAGCUCGAGUCUGAACUUGAGCUCAAACCAAACUUUUUAAUUUUGAGCUCGGUCUCGAGCUUUUUUAACGAGUUUCUUAAUCGAGCUUUCCGAAUUCGAGCUCGAGUUUUAUUAACGAGCUUCUUAAUCGAGCUUUUCGAGCUCGAGCUCGAAUUAGGCUCGUUAUUAAAUCAAACGAGCCUUUCACGAGUCGAGCUCGAAUCGAGCUCGAUUAUAAUAUUUAAUUCUCGAGCCGAGCUCGAAUCAAAUAUUAGAGCUCGAGCUCGAGCUUCCAAACUUUUUUAAUAAACGAGCUUGAGCUUUACAAAG
Molecule: long non-coding RNA, 380 nt
Filed under: Manihot esculenta (cassava)
Lineage: Eukaryota; Viridiplantae; Streptophyta; Magnoliopsida; Malpighiales; Euphorbiaceae
Description: long non-coding RNA (MESC_LNC010654)
Source: RNAcentral